AGCGCAGGCGGUUUCUUAAGUCUGAUGUGAAAGCCUUCGGCUUAACCGGAGAAGAGCAUCGGAAACUGGGAGACUUGAGUGCAGAAAAGGACAGUGGAACUCCAUGUGUAGCGGUGAAAUGCGUAGAUAUAUGGAAGAACACCAGUGGCGAAGGCGGCUGUCUGGUCUGUAACUGACGCUGAGGCUCGAAAGCAUGGGUAGCGAACA
This 207-nucleotide ribosomal RNA is filed under the name uncultured bacterium. RNAcentral's name for it is "partial 16S ribosomal RNA". It matches the Rfam family "Bacterial small subunit ribosomal RNA", at positions 568 to 774 of the family's 1533-position model. The record is from RNAcentral.